GCAAUUGAGCCGGCUCAAUAAAAUCCAGCCUUCCAAGCUGAAUACGAGGGUUCGAUUCCCUCCAAUUGUG
RNAcentral lists this transfer RNA (70 nucleotides) under Bradyrhizobium cajani. Its description in RNAcentral is "tRNA-OTHER". It matches the Rfam family "tRNA". Rfam says of the family: Transfer RNA (tRNA) molecules are approximately 80 nucleotides in length. Their secondary structure includes four short double-helical elements and three loops (D, anti-codon, and T loops). Further hydrogen bonds mediate the characteristic L-shaped molecular structure. tRNAs have two regions of fundamental functional importance: the anti-codon, which is responsible for specific mRNA codon recognition, and the 3' end, to which the tRNAs corresponding amino acid is attached (by aminoacyl-tRNA synthetases). tRNAs cope with the degeneracy of the genetic code in two manners: having more than one tRNA (with a specific anti-codon) for a particular amino acid; and 'wobble' base-pairing, i.e. permitting non-standard base-pairing at the 3rd anti-codon position. The record is from RNAcentral. Lineage: Bacteria; Pseudomonadati; Pseudomonadota; Alphaproteobacteria; Hyphomicrobiales; Nitrobacteraceae.